GACGAACGCUGGCGGCGUGCUUAACACAUGCAAGUCGAACGGAAAGGCCUCUUUCGGGGGGUACUCGAGUGGCGAACGGGUGAGUAACACGUGAGUAACCUGCCCUUGACUUUGGGAUAACUUCAGGAAACUGGGGCUAAUACCGGAUAGGAGCUCCUGCUGCAUGGUGGGGGUUGGAAAGUUUCGGCGGUUGGGGAUGGACUCGCGGCUUAUCAGCUUGUUGGUGGGGUAGUGGCUUACCAAGGCUUUGACGGGUAGCCGGCCUGAGAGGGUGACCGGCCACAUUGGGACUGAGAUACGGCCCAGACUCCUACGGGAGGCAGCAGUGGGGAAUAUUGCACAAUGGGUGGAAGCCUGAUGCAGCAACGCCGUGUGCGGGAUGACGGCCUUCGGGUUGUAAACCGCUUUCGCUCAUGACGAAGCUUUGUGACGGUAGUGGGUAAAGAAGCACCGGCUAACUACGUG
RNAcentral lists this ribosomal RNA (465 nucleotides) under uncultured bacterium. RNAcentral's name for it is "partial 16S ribosomal RNA". It matches the Rfam family "Bacterial small subunit ribosomal RNA", at positions 28 to 507 of the family's 1533-position model. The record is from RNAcentral.